RNAcentral lists this ribosomal RNA (498 nucleotides) under uncultured soil bacterium. Its description in RNAcentral is "bacterial SSU rRNA". It matches the Rfam family "Bacterial small subunit ribosomal RNA", at positions 26 to 506 of the family's 1533-position model. The record is from RNAcentral.
AGAUUGAACGCUGGCGGCAUGCUUUACACAUGCAAGUCGAACGGUAACAGGCCGCAAGGUGCUGACGAGUGGCGAACGGGUGAGUAAUGCAUCGGAACGUGCCCAGUCGUGGGGGGAUAACGCAGCGAAAGCUGUGCUAAUACCGCAUACGAUCUAUGGAUGAAAGCGGGGGACCGAAAGGCCUCGCGCGAUUGGAGCGGCCGAUGUCAGAUUAGCUAGUUGGUGGGGUAAAGGCCCACCAAGGCGACGAUCUGUAGCUGGUCUGAGAGGACGACCAGCCACACUGGAACUGAGACACGGUCCAGACUCCUACGGGAGGCAGCAGUGGGAAUUUUGGACAAGUGGGCGACAAGCCUGAUCCAGCAAUGCCGCGUGACGAGGAAGAAGGCCUUCGGUUGUAAACUGUCUUUAGUACGGUAACGUAACGGUACGUGGUUAAUACCGUCGGACUAAGUGAACGGUAACCGUAAGAAGUAAGACGACCGGACCUAACUACGU